GCAUAUCAAUAAGCGGAGGAAAAGAAAAUAACAAUGAUUCCCCUAGUAACUGCGAGUGAAGAGGGAUAAGCUCAAAUUUUAAAUCUGUUAGGUUCACCUAACCGAGUUGUAAUUUGAAGAGACGUUUUCUCGUUCUUGAUCAGCCCAAGUCCUAUUGAAUGAGGCAUCGUGGAGGGUGAUAAUCCCGUACGGUUGAUCAAUGCGUUUUACGAUACGUUCUCAAAGAGUCAAGUUGUUUGGGAUUGCAGCUUAAAAUGGGAGGUAAAUUUCUCCUAAGGCUAAAUAUUGGCGAGAGACCGAUAGCGAACAAGUACCGUGAGGGAAAGAUGAAAAGUAUUUUGAAAAGAAGGUCAAAUAGUACGUGAAAUUGUUGAAAGGGAAACGAUUGAAGUCAGUCGUACCUUCGAGUAAUCAGCCUUUUGGGUGCGAUUAUGUGGUACAUGGAAAGAUUUCAUGAUCGCAUAAUUGUGCAUUUUUGGUGUACUUGCUCGUAUGGUAGGUUAACAUCAAUUUCGAUCAUCAUAAAAUGACGGGAGGAAUGUGGCUUCUCCGGAAGUGUUAUAGCCUCUGGUAGAUGUGAUGAUUGGGAUUGAGGAUUGCAACGGAUACCCUUUGGGCUACUCGUCUGAUCUCUGAUUGUCUCUUUGGUGCCGAAAGCUUGCUUAUGGUUUCAAAGUAGGUGGUCAAAAGGUUAGAACGGGUUAAAUUCGUUAAGGAUGUUGACGUA
Molecule: ribosomal RNA, 727 nt
Filed under: uncultured Glomus
Lineage: Eukaryota; Fungi; Glomeromycota; Glomeromycetes; Glomerales; Glomeraceae
Description: LSU rRNA
Rfam family: Eukaryotic large subunit ribosomal RNA
Source: RNAcentral